UUAAAGUUUCGGGUAUGGGUCCGGAUAUUUUAUACCCAUAUCCGAUUUGGACUCGAUCCGAACCUAACUUUUAAAUGGGUAGAGUCCAGAAUAUUUUUCAAAUCCGGAUCCAGACCCGGACCCGAUGAAAUAUCCGAUAGUAAAUAAAAAAAAAUAAACUUUUGAAGUUGAAGGAUCAAUUUUAAUAUGACUUAUAGAUGAUGAGUCACUACGUAUUUUCGUCCUAAUGAAAUUCUAGCCGUCUCUUUUACUCAUUACUUUUUUCUAAUUUUUUUACUCUUUGUUUUCUACUCUUUUUUUUUCACUUCAUUUUCGCCGACAAUAUUUCAUUGUCAUCAUCAUCAUCAGUGUCAUCAUCAUCAUCAGCGACAAUAUUUCUUUUGAAUGAAUUUUAUUGGACGGUACAAUUUAUUAGAAUGCGAGUUUUUUUAUGGUGGGCUUUAUAGUUUGUCUAUUGACUAUUUAAUGAAGUUUAUAAAAAAAAAUAUUUAUACGGAUAUUCCUAUCCGAUCUAAACCCGAUCUAUAUCCGGUCUUGAACGGAUAGUAUACGGGUAGUCACUACCCAGAUUCGCUCAAAUAGACCCGAUGGGUAUAUUAGUAACUUUAGUACCCAAAUCCGGAUCCGACCCAAAGUUAAAUGGGUAGGGUAUAUAUAUUUUUUUGUAACCAUUUUUUUUUAGGGUAUGGAUACAGUAUAUUAAUUACCCAGACCCGAUCCGGUCCACGGACAUCUUUACCCCCGCCUAUAGUGGUUAGUAUAGUAGUACUAUCUUUCCCCUUUACCCAACUUGAGUUAUGAGUAUGAAUGAGAUUUCUUUCUUUAUCUGUAAGAAAGAAGAAAAAAAGU
RNAcentral lists this long non-coding RNA (849 nucleotides) under Ananas comosus (pineapple). RNAcentral describes it as "long non-coding RNA (ACOM_LNC014327)". The record is from RNAcentral. Lineage: Eukaryota; Viridiplantae; Streptophyta; Magnoliopsida; Poales; Bromeliaceae.